AUAAACAGAAGAGGUGCGAUGCUUAGGUAUUUAGCGGUAGGUGACGAAAGCCUGUGACUGCUUUAGAGGGAAGUACUCGCCGAGGAAAGUUGUAGUACGUCGCUGUGACUUUUCGGUUUACGAGGCUGAAUCCUCGGAACUGUCACCGUUUUAAUGGUGGAGAGCUUCUGGCAAA
This 175-nucleotide non-coding RNA is filed under the name Pseudoalteromonas sp. RNAcentral describes it as "Lysine sequence". It matches the Rfam family "Lysine riboswitch aptamer". Rfam says of the family: Riboswitches are metabolite binding domains within certain messenger RNAs that serve as precision sensors for their corresponding targets. Lineage: Bacteria; Pseudomonadati; Pseudomonadota; Gammaproteobacteria; Alteromonadales; Pseudoalteromonadaceae. The record is from RNAcentral.